RNAcentral lists this ribosomal RNA (433 nucleotides) under uncultured bacterium. Its description in RNAcentral is "partial 16S ribosomal RNA". It matches the Rfam family "Bacterial small subunit ribosomal RNA", at positions 29 to 507 of the family's 1533-position model. The record is from RNAcentral.
AACGAACGCUGGCGGCAUGCCUAACACAUGCAAGUCGAACGAGACCUUCGGGUUUAGUGGCGCACGGGUGCGUAACGCGUGGGAACCUGCCCUUAGGUUCGGAAUAACUCCCCGAAAGGGGUGCUAAUACCGGAUAAUGUCUUCGGACCAAAGAUUUAUCGCCUUUGGAUGGGCCCGCGUUGGAUUAGCUAGUUGGUAGGGUAAAAGCCUACCAAGGCGACGAUCCUUAGCUGGUCUGGGAGGAUGAUCAGCCACACUGGGACUGAGACACGGCCCAGACUCCUACGGGAGGCAGCAGUGGGGAAUAUUAGGCGAUGGGCGAAAGCCUGAUCCCGCAAUGCCGCGUGAGUGAUGCAGGCCUUAGGGUUGUAAAGCUCUUUUAGCCGGGAUGAUAAUGACGGUACCGGGAGAAUAAGCUCCGGCUAACUCCGUG